AGUGAACGCUGGCGGUAGGCCUAACACAUGCAAGUCGAACGGCAGCACAGUAAGAGCUUGCUCUUACGGGUGGCGAGUGGCGGACGGGUGAGGAAUACAUCGGAAUCUACUUUUUCGUGGGGGAUAACGUAGGGAAACUUACGCUAAUACCGCAUACGACCUACGGGUGAAAGCAGGGGAUCUUCGGACCUUGCGCGAUUGAAUGAGCCGAUGUCGGAUUAGCUAGUUGGCGGGGUAAAGCCCACCAAGGCGACGAUCCGUAGCUGGUCUGAGAUGGUGAUCAGCCACACUGGAACUGAGACACGGUCCAGACUCCUACGGGAGGCAGCAGUGGGGAAUAUUGGACAAUGGGCGCAAGCCUGAUCCAGCCAUACCGCGUGGGUGAAGAAGGCCUUCGGGUUGUAAAGCCCUUUUGUUGGGAAAGAAAAGCAGCAGGUUAAUACCCCGCUGUUCUGACGGUACCCAAAGAAUAAGCACCGGCUAACUUCGUG
This 491-nucleotide ribosomal RNA is filed under the name uncultured bacterium. Its description in RNAcentral is "partial 16S ribosomal RNA". It matches the Rfam family "Bacterial small subunit ribosomal RNA", at positions 29 to 507 of the family's 1533-position model. The record is from RNAcentral.